Long non-coding RNA from Canis lupus familiaris (dog), 563 nucleotides. RefSeq lists it as uncharacterized. The record is from RefSeq and is a predicted model, not a curated record. NCBI's taxonomy places the organism in Eukaryota, Metazoa, Chordata, Mammalia, Carnivora, Canidae. The transcript is spliced from 3 exons.
UGAUUGAAUCAGGCCCCUGAAUCUAGGAUAAGUUUGCUGACUUAGAGUCAACCCACCAGGGACAUUAGUCACAUCUACGAAAUAUCUUCACAGCAACACCCAGAUUGGUGUUUGAUUGAGUAACUGCUGACUGUAGGCUAGCCAAGUUGACCCAUAAAACCUGCCAUCACAUUGGCAAAGCCACCGUAUUUCUCCUCUGAAUUACUGCUGCUUCAGCAUCUUUAUGAGUUUCCCUGUUCCUGCUCUGAUCCUCUGUGCCCCUCCCCGUCCCCCAACUGUUUUCAACCGAGCAGCUGGAGGGAUCAUCGCUCCAUUGCUCAAAGCCCUCGUGGUGGGCAGAAUGAUGGUUCCUCAAAGAUGUCCACAUCCUAAUCCCCAGAACCUGAAGGGGUCACAAGCCCACAAUGAGGAACACAGGACCUCAGUCGUACAACUGCAUGGAACUGAAUUCCACUAGCAAACCCAGUGAGCGAGGAAACAGAUUCUCCCCCAGAGCUCCCAGGAGACAGAGAGAGAGAAGCAGGCUCCAUGCCGGGAGCCCGACGUGGGACUCGAUCCCGGGU